GGGUCAGUAGGUUGGUCGUGCCACCGGUACGUACUGGUCCCACUGAUUCCUCCUUCCUGAAGAACCGUAAUGCCAUUAAUUUGGUGUUGCGGGGAAACAGGACUGUUACUUUGAAAAAAUUAGAGUGUUUAAAGCAAGCCAACGCUUGAAUACAUUAGCAUGGAAUAAUGAAAUAGGACGAUCGAUCCUAUUUUGUUGGUUUCUAGGAUUGACGUA
RNAcentral lists this ribosomal RNA (216 nucleotides) under Glomeromycotina sp. Its description in RNAcentral is "partial small subunit ribosomal RNA". The stretch from base 44 to 216 matches the Rfam family "Eukaryotic small subunit ribosomal RNA", at positions 690 to 864 of the family's 1831-position model. Lineage: Eukaryota; Fungi; Glomeromycota. The record is from RNAcentral.